This 253-nucleotide ribosomal RNA is filed under the name uncultured bacterium. RNAcentral's name for it is "partial 16S ribosomal RNA". It matches the Rfam family "Bacterial small subunit ribosomal RNA", at positions 524 to 776 of the family's 1533-position model. The record is from RNAcentral.
AACGUAGGGCGCAAGCGUUGUCCGGAAUUAUUGGGCGUAAAGAGCUCGUAGGCGGUUUGUCGCGUCUGCUGUGAAAACCCGGGGCUCAACCCCGGGCCUGCAGUCGAUACGGGCAGGCUAGAGUCCGGCAGGGGAGACUGGAAUUCCUGGUGUAGCGGUGAAAUGCGCAGAUAUCAGGAGGAACACCGGUGGCGAAGGCGGGUCUCUGGGCCGGAACUGACGCUGAGGAGCGAAAGCGUGGGGAGCGAACAGG